UGGGGAAUAUUGUGCAAUGGGGGAAACCCUGACACAGCGACGCCGCGUGAGCGAAGAAGGCCUUCGGGUCGUAAAGCUCAAUAGUAUGGGAAGAAAUAAAUGACGGUACCAUACGAAAGCCCCGGCUAACUACGUGCCAGCAGCCGCGGUAAUACGUAGGGGGCGAGCGUUGUCCGGAAUUACUGGGCGUAAAGAGCACGUAGGCGGCUAUAAAAGUCAGAUGUGAAAAACCUGGGCUCAACCGAGGGUAUGCAUCUGAAACUAAAUAGCUUGAGUCAAGGAGAGGAGAGCGGAAUUCCUGGUGUAGCGGUGAAAUGCGUAGAGAUCAGGAAGAAUACCAGUGGCGAAAGCGGCUCUCUGGACUUGAACUGACGCUGAGGUGCGAAAGCGUGGGGAGCAAACAGG
RNAcentral lists this ribosomal RNA (405 nucleotides) under Bacillota bacterium. RNAcentral describes it as "Firmicutes bacterium partial 16S ribosomal RNA". It matches the Rfam family "Bacterial small subunit ribosomal RNA", at positions 355 to 776 of the family's 1533-position model. The record is from RNAcentral. RNAcentral also lists the same sequence under 1 other name. Lineage: Bacteria; Bacillati; Bacillota.